RNAcentral lists this ribosomal RNA (806 nucleotides) under Pseudogymnoascus pannorum. RNAcentral's name for it is "eukaryotic LSU rRNA". It matches the Rfam family "Eukaryotic large subunit ribosomal RNA", at positions 85 to 912 of the family's 3401-position model. RNAcentral also lists the same sequence under 1 other name. Lineage: Eukaryota; Fungi; Ascomycota; Leotiomycetes; Thelebolales; Thelebolaceae. The record is from RNAcentral.
AACGGCGAGUGAAGCGGUAACAGCUCAAAUUUGAAAUCUGGCCUCACGGUCCGAGUUGUAAUUUGUAGAGGAUGCUUCGAGCAUGGUCUGGCCUAAGUUCCUUGGAACAGGACGUCAUAGAGGGUGAGAAUCCCGUAUGCGGCCAGGUGCCUACGCUCAUGUGAAGCUCCUUCGACGAGUCGAGUUGUUUGGGAAUGCAGCUCAAAAUGGGUGGUAAAUUUCAUCUAAAGCUAAAUAUUGGCCAGAGACCGAUAGCGCACAAGUAGAGUGAUCGAAAGAUGAAAAGCACUUUGGAAAGAGAGUUAAACAGUACGUGAAAUUGUUGAAAGGGAAGCGCUUGCAACCAGACUUGCGCGCGGCCGAUCAUCCGGUGUUCUCACCGGUGCACUCGGCCGUGCUCAGGCCAGCAUCGGUUUUGGCGGCUGGAUAAAGGCCCUAGGAAUGUAGCUCCUCUCGGGGAGUGUUAUAGCCUAGGGUGCAAUGCAGCCUGCUGGGACCGAGGACCGCGCUUCGGCUAGGAUGCUGGCGUAAUGGUUGUAAGCGGCCCGUCUUGAAACACGGACCAAGGAGUCUAACAUCUAUGCGAGUGUUUGGGUGUCAAACCCAUACGCGUAAUGAAAGUGAACGGAGGUGAGAACCCUUAAGGGUGCAUCAUCGACCGGUCCUGAAGUUUACGGAAGGAUCUGAGUAAGAGCAUAGCUGUUGGGACCCGAAAGAUGGUGAACUAUGCCUGAAUAGGGUGAAGCCAGAGGAAACUCUGGUGGAGGCUCGCAGCGGUUCUGACGUGCAAAUCGAUCGUCAAAUUU